Molecule: ribosomal RNA, 1188 nt
Filed under: uncultured bacterium
Lineage: Bacteria
Description: bacterial SSU rRNA
Rfam family: Bacterial small subunit ribosomal RNA
Source: RNAcentral
GAUAGUUUGAUUAUGGCUCAGGAUGAACGCUGGCGGCGUGCCUAACACAUGCAAGUUGAGCGAGAAAUCACUUAAAGAAGCUUCGGUAGACUUAAGAGAUGGAGAGCAGCGGACGGGUGAGUAACGCGUGGGAAACCUGCCCUUGACAGGAGGAUAGCCGAGAGAAAUUUCGAUUAAUACUUCAUAAAGCAGAGCAUUCGCAUGGAUGAACUGCCAAAGAAUUAUCGGUCAAGGAUGGUCCCGCGUCUGAUUAGCUGGUUGGUAAGGUAGCGGCUUACCAAGGCGACGAUCAGUAGCCGGCCUGAGAGGGUGAACGGCCACAUUGGAACUGAGACACGGUCCAGACUCCUACGGGAGGCAGCAGUGGGGAAUAUUGCACAAUGGGCGAAAGCCUGAUGCAGCAACGCCGCGUGAAGGAAGAAGGCUUUCGAGUCGUAAACUUCUGUCCAAAGGGAAGAAUAAUGACGGUACCUUUGAAGAAAGCCCCGGCUAACUACGUGCCAGCAGCCGCGGUAAUACGUAGGGGGCGAGCGUUAUCCGGAAUUACUGGGCGUAAAGAGUAUGUAGGUGGUUAAGUAAGCGUAGGGUUUAAGGCGACAGCCCAACUGUCGUAUGCCCCGCGAACUGUUUAACUUGAGUACAGGAGGGGAAGGCGGAAUUCCUAGUGUAGCGGUGAAAUGCGUAGAUAUUAGGAGGAACACCAGUGGCGAAUGCGGCCUUCUGGACUGUAACUGACACUGAGAUACGAAAGCGUGGGUAGCAAACAGGAUUAGAUACCCUGGUAGUCCACGCCGUAUACGAUGAGCACUAGGUGUCGGGCUCGCAAGAGUUCGGUGCCGGAGCAACGCAUUAAGUGCUCCGCCUGGGGAGUACGCACGCAAGUGUGAACUCAAAGGAAUUGACGGGGACCCGCACAAGCAGCGGAGCAUGUGGUUUAUUCGAAGCAACGCGAAGAACCUUACCAGGACUUGACAUCCCACUGAAAGCUCGGUUAAACUGAUCCUCUCGAACAUGGAGACAGGUGGUGCAUGUGUCGUCAGCUCGUGUCGUGAGAUGUUGGGCUAAGUCCGCACGAGCGCCACCUGCGUACUGCCAUCAUUAGCUGGCAUCUAUGGACUGCCAGGGAACGAGAGCAGAAUGACGUCAUCUCAUGCCUUAGUUCUCUGGGCUACACCGCUGGCUCUACAA